This 301-nucleotide ribosomal RNA is filed under the name uncultured bacterium. Its description in RNAcentral is "partial 16S ribosomal RNA". It matches the Rfam family "Bacterial small subunit ribosomal RNA", at positions 509 to 807 of the family's 1533-position model. The record is from RNAcentral.
CAGUCGCCGCGGGAAUACGAAGGGUGCAAGCGUCAAUCGGAAUUACUGGGCGUAAAGCGUGCGUAGGCGGUGAGUUAAGUCUGCUGUGAAAUCCCCGGGCUCAACCUGGGAAUGGCAAUGGAUACUGGCAAGCUAGAGUGUGUCAGAGGAUGGUGGAAUUCCCGGUGUAGCGGUGAAGUGCGUAGAGAUCGGGAGGAAUAUCAGUGGCGAAGGCGGCCAUCUGGGACAACACUGACGCUGAGGCACGAAAGCGUGGGGAGCAAACAGGAUUAGAUACCCCAGUAGUCCCUGUCUCUUAUAC